UAGCUUACACAUGCAAGCAUCCGCACACCCGUGAAAACGCCCACUACCUUCUAACAAGAGAUGGAGCUGGUAUCAGGCACAUCAAUACGCCCAAAACACCUAGCAACGCCACGCCCUCAAGGGUUAUCAGCAGUGAUAAACAUUGAACAUGAGCGCCAACUCGAUUCAGCUAUAGAACAUAGGGUCGGCAAAUUUAGUGCCAGUCGCCGCGGCCAAACUAUUGACCCAAAUUGAUUUUCAUCUAACGCUAGUGUUUUUAAGCAUCACCCCACUAGAGUCAAACCCACAUAGAGCCGUGGCAAGCCCAUGAAAAGAAGAUCAAAAACGAAAGUUACUCUACUACCAAACUUAAAUACACGAAAAUCUGGACCCAAACUAGGAUUAGAUACCCUACUAUGCCAGAUAGUAAACACCUACUACCGGGAACUACGAGCAAAGCUUAAAACCCAAAGGACUUGACGGCAUCUCACAUCCCUCUAGAGGAGCCUGUCCUAUAAACGAUAAUCCCCGAUCAACCUCACCACAUUUUGCCUUUCAGCCUGUAUACUUCCGUCGUCCACUUACCGCGUGAGCAACUCAUAGUAAGCCCACUGCCUUUCGCCUUCCACCUUUCGCAGAUACGUCAGGUCAAAGUGCAGCAAAUAAAGUGGGAAGCGGUGGGAUACACUCUCUAACUAUAGAAAACACGAAGAUAACAUGAAAUCACCAUCAGAAGGUGGAUUUAGCAGUAAAAGGAGAAUAGAUUUCUCCUUUUAAUAUGGUUCUGGGAUUUGU
This 774-nucleotide ribosomal RNA is filed under the name Oreobates quixensis (common big-headed frog). RNAcentral describes it as "partial 12S ribosomal RNA". Lineage: Eukaryota; Metazoa; Chordata; Amphibia; Anura; Strabomantidae. The record is from RNAcentral.